Molecule: ribosomal RNA, 255 nt
Filed under: uncultured bacterium
Lineage: Bacteria
Description: partial 16S ribosomal RNA
Rfam family: Bacterial small subunit ribosomal RNA
Source: RNAcentral
CGGACGGGUGAGUAACGCGUGGGUAACCUGCCCCAUACCGGGGGAUACCACCUGGAAACAGGUGCUAAUACCGCAUAAGCGCACAGAGCCGCAUGGCUCAGUGUGAAAAACUCCGGUGGUGUAAGAUGGAUCCGCGUCUGAUUAGCUGGUUGGCGGGGUAGAAGCCCACCAAGGCGACGAUCAGUAGCCGGCCUGAGAGGGUGAACGGCCACAUUGGGACUGAGACACGGCCCAAACUCCUACGGGAGGCAGCAG